This 440-nucleotide ribosomal RNA is filed under the name uncultured bacterium. Its description in RNAcentral is "partial 16S ribosomal RNA". It matches the Rfam family "Bacterial small subunit ribosomal RNA", at positions 339 to 795 of the family's 1533-position model. The record is from RNAcentral.
CUACGGGUGGCAGCAGUAGGGAAUAUUGCACAAUGGGCGAAAGCCUGAUGCAGCAACGCCGCGUGCGCGAUGAAGGCCUUCGGGUUGUAAAGCGCUUUUCUGAGGGAAGAGGAAGGACGGUACUUCAGGAAUAAGUCUCGGCUAACUACGUGCCAGCAGCCGCGGUAACACGUAGGAGGCAAGCGUUAUCCGGAUUUACUGGGCGUAAAGCGCGUGCAGGCGGUUUGGCAAGUCGGAUGUGAAAGCUCCUGGCUCAACUAGGAGAUGCCGUUCGAAACUGCCAGACUCGAGGACGGUAGAGGGAGAUGGAAUUCCCGGUGUAGUAGUGAAAUGCGUAGAUAUCGGGAGGAACACCAGAGGCGAAGGCGGUCUCCUGGGCCGGUCCUGACGCUAAGACGCGAAAGCAUGGGUAGCGAACGGGAUUAGAUACCCGAGUAGUC